AAUUUUAAUAGUUUAUAAAAAAAUGUUGAUUUUGUAAUUCAACGAAAUCUUUUAGAUUUAAAAU
RNAcentral lists this transfer RNA (64 nucleotides) under Bemisia sp. WTT-2017. Its description in RNAcentral is "tRNA-Thr". Lineage: Eukaryota; Metazoa; Arthropoda; Insecta; Hemiptera; Aleyrodidae. The record is from RNAcentral.